UUUUGUUGUUGUUUUUUUUUUUUUUUAAUAAUUUUAAAAAGCUUACAUAAUGUCUGAUCUUAAGAGUGACAUUGAAAGGUUUUAGAAUGGGAAGCAUGCCUCUUGCCUUCACCUUCCGUUUCACUGCAGUUCCCAGAGGGAAUCACUUAACCACUUUUAACUUCUAAUGGUUAACCUCCAUGUUUAAAUAAUAUGCUUAUACAGUUACAAUUUAUUUUAGUGUACUUUUAAAUUUUUUUUCAGGUUGCAAAAGUAACAACAUCCAUAGUGGAGCAUUUAGCAAAUAGAGUAAAUUACAUAGGAGAAAAUGAAACGUAUUCUACCAAGAGAUCCUGUCAACAUUUUUGGUAUUUAAAUGAAGACCUGUAGAAAAACAUUUGUCUUCCAACUUCAGCAAUUACCCUGGAAGUGAAAUUACAUUUUUAGAUUGGAAUCUUGAAUAAUACAAGGAACAAAGUUUCAGGAGAGGAUGACUUGAAGCUGAACCCUUGAACUGAACCCGAGGUGCCUUCUGAACGUCAGGGGAGAACGCAGGCCUGCAGCGUGGGGCAGGACGGGAAGUCCCUGUGCACCAGGGCUCGGCCAUGCACACCCCUGCCAAUCCCCGCAGAGGCCAGGUGAGCGGGGCCCUGGGAGACACAGGCUGCUGGCCGGGGACUGGCCAGAGCUGGGGGGACAGUCGGUCCCUUGGGUGCUUUCUCCUCAGCCCUUCUCUACAAAUGAACACUUCCUAUGUCUGCUUCUUGAGGACGUGAGGUAUGCAAAACCAAACCAUUUCAUCAUUUUGUCUCAGGUUUGUUUUUUUGCCUGUAUUAGAGAUAAAAAUUAGGAAAUGGUCAUUCCUCCUCAAGUUUAGGGUUUUUAAGAUAACAGUCGGGGACACCUGGGUGGCUCAGCGGUUGAGCGUCUGCCUUUGGCCCAGGCCGUGAUCCUGGAGUCCCGAGAUCGAGUCCCACAUCGGGCUCCCUGCAUGCAGCCUACUUCUCCCUCUGCCUGUGUCUCUGCCUCCCUCUCUCUGUCUCUCAUUGAUGGAUAAAUAAAAUCUUAAAAAAAAAAAAGAUAACAAUAAUUGGUGCAUAUUACCUGAAUAAAAGAAACCUCAGACUGAUUUUUAAAAAAUUGUUAUAUGAAUUAUAUUUUGCUUUGUAAAGGGAAAAAAGUAAAGUGAGUCCCAAGAAAGGUAUUAAAGUGGAAACCUGCAUAUUUACACCUCAAUUUAAUAUUAAAAAGACAAGUAAUCAACUGCUCCUCCCUGCAGCUUCAGGAUGUCAAGACUCUUUUUUGUUUCCACUGUUACGGUCCUCAAUUCACCCAGGACAGUUAGGGGUGGGAGAGAGUGCCGAACUCGUAGUGGGCUCCCCCAGCGAACCUGGUGCGUUUCUCACCUACCUCUCCUGCUUUCCCGUUUUGGAGCAUGAAUGAUUUCAGCUGUACUCUAGGCCAAUUGAGUCCCUUUGGAUACUUUUUGGGUGUUUGUGUAUGUGUUACUGUGAUAUAAGAAAUACGUAUCUGGCCUUCCUCCCUGUUCCCUGGCACAGAGCUCCUGAGACCUUUGUAAUUUUCCGAGUGACAGAGGUGAGAGCAGCAUCACUUGUCAUCCAAAAGGAGCCCCCUUCAGGGGCUGACCUGAGUUUAUGCUAAUAAGCUGAUGGGUCCUUGGGGCUCCCUACAUAGCUUCAGCCUGGGGGCUGGUGACCAGAAGGACUUUGCACCACCCACAUCCCACCGGAAGGGAAGGGAGAAGAGCUGGAGAUUGAGUUAAUCGCCAGCAGACAAUGAUUUAAUAAAUCACAGCAAUAAUAGUAUGUAAUGAUCCCAUUCCAUAGGCACCUCCGUGAAAACCCUACAAGAGCCUCCCGGUUGGUGACUGCAUCAAGGUGCCAGGAGGGCGUCCUGCUCGUCCAGAGUGUGGAAGCUCUGCGUCCCUCUCCCCACCAACCUGGCCCAGUGCCCCUCUUCCAUUUGGCUCUCCUUGAGUUGUUUCCUUUAUAAUAACCUGGUAACAUCAGCAAGUGCUUUCCUCAGUUGGGCAGGCCCGUUCUAGCAAAUAAGGAACCUAAAGAGGAGGUUGUGGGCAGUCAGGAGUACAGGAGGCUGGGACUUGCGACUGGUGUUUGGAGUGGGGGCAGUCCUGUGGGGCGGAGCUCCUUAAGUUUUGGGAUCCGACACGGACUCCAGACAGUGUAAUCCUAAGACCCUAACGGAUGUCUGGAGAACUGUGUGGUGUGAGGAGAAAAGCUGCACAUCUGGCGUGAGAGUGCAGUGAGUAAAAACAGCUCAGACUCUGCAGCUCACUGUAGAGGGAUUCGAGGAGCUGCUUUAUGAAAAAUCGUCUCGGAGUCAACAGGCCUUUGGGUGGAACAUGCCUUUCUGUUCAUGCAAGCAGUUCGGUCUGCAAAACACUUCAGCGGUGAUUCAUUCAUUCCAGAGACAUCACUG
Molecule: long non-coding RNA, 2439 nt
Organism: Canis lupus familiaris (dog)
Lineage: Eukaryota; Metazoa; Chordata; Mammalia; Carnivora; Canidae
Exons: 3
Source: RefSeq, a predicted model, not a curated record